GACGAACGCUGGCGGCGCGCCUAACACAUGCAAGUCGAACGAGCGAGAGAGAGCUUGCUUUCUCGAGCGAGUGGCGAACGGGUGAGUAACGCGUGAGGAACCUGCCUCAAAGAGGGGGACAACAGUUGGAAACGACUGCUAAUACCGCAUAAGCCCACGGCUCGGCAUCGAGCAGGGGGAAAAGGAGCAAUCCGCUUUGAGAUGGCCUCGCGUCCGAUUAGCUAGUUGGUGGGGUAACGGCCCACCAAGGCGACGAUCGGUAGCCGGACUGAGAGGUUGAACGGCCACAUUGGGACUGAGACACGGCCCAGACUCCUACGGGAGGCAGCAGUGGGGAAUAUUGCACAAUGGGGGAAACCCUGAUGCAGCGACGCCGCGUGGAGGAAGAAGGUCUUCGGAUUGUAGACUCCUGUUGUUGGGGAAGAUAAUGACGGUACCCAACAAGGAAGUGACGGCUAACUACGUG
Molecule: ribosomal RNA, 466 nt
Filed under: uncultured bacterium
Lineage: Bacteria
Description: partial 16S ribosomal RNA
Rfam family: Bacterial small subunit ribosomal RNA
Source: RNAcentral